RNAcentral lists this transfer RNA (68 nucleotides) under Marisa cornuarietis. Its description in RNAcentral is "tRNA-Phe". It matches the Rfam family "tRNA". Rfam says of the family: Transfer RNA (tRNA) molecules are approximately 80 nucleotides in length. Their secondary structure includes four short double-helical elements and three loops (D, anti-codon, and T loops). Lineage: Eukaryota; Metazoa; Mollusca; Gastropoda; Architaenioglossa; Ampullariidae. The record is from RNAcentral.
GUUUUGGUAGCUCAAGCAUAGAGCAUAACACUGAAGAUGUUAAGGUAAUUAUUCUAAAUUCUGAAACA